RNAcentral lists this transfer RNA (73 nucleotides) under Camelus bactrianus (Bactrian camel). It matches the Rfam family "tRNA". From Rfam's summary of the family: Transfer RNA (tRNA) molecules are approximately 80 nucleotides in length. Their secondary structure includes four short double-helical elements and three loops (D, anti-codon, and T loops). Lineage: Eukaryota; Metazoa; Chordata; Mammalia; Artiodactyla; Camelidae. RNAcentral also lists the same sequence under 2 other names. The record is from Rfam by way of RNAcentral.
AAGGAUAUAGCUCAAGUGGUAGAGUGCAUGCCUAGUAUGCAAAAGGUCCUGGGUCCAAUCCCCAGUAUCUCCU